Molecule: ribosomal RNA, 402 nt
Filed under: uncultured bacterium
Lineage: Bacteria
Description: bacterial SSU rRNA
Rfam family: Bacterial small subunit ribosomal RNA
Source: RNAcentral
GACGAACGCUGGCGGCGUGCUUAACACAUGCAAGUCGAGCGGUAAGGCCCUUUCGGGGGUACACGAGCGGCGAACGGGUGAGUAACACGUGGGUGACCUGCCCUUAGCUCUGGGAUAAGCCUGGGAAACUGGGUCUAAUACCGGAUAUGACUCCAUGACGCAUGUUGUGGGGUGGAAAGCCUUGUGCGGCUAGGGAUGGGCCCGCGGCCUAUCAGCUUGUUGGUGGGGUGAUGGCCUACCAAGGCGACGACGGGUAGCCGGCCUGAGAGGGCGACCGGCCACACUGGGACUGAGACACGGCCCAGACUCCUACGGGAGGCAGCAGUGGGGAAUCUUGCGCAAUGGGCGAAAGCCUGACGCAGCGACGCCGCGUGAGGGAUGACGGCCUCGGUUGUAACGUAC